CCAUCAUGCUUUAAUAGCUAAUACUUUUCUCAACAUUGAAUAACAUACAUUUGAUAUAAAUUUUCUUUUUUCAUAAUAGUUAUUAUACUGUUAACAUUUUAGUUAUCUCUCAAACAAUAGUAAUUAUUAAAUCAGAACUUACAUGUAUACUCUAUCAGUGUUAUGACAGACUAAAAAGUGUCUAUCUAACUUAUUAAUGAGUUGAUUGUCAAGCUUUGUAAGGUCAUUUAGUCUCCAUUAUUAUAUUGCAUUGUAAAUUGUUUUUGAAAUUAUGGAUGGAGGUAGAAUGUUGGUUAAUUGUAACUAUCUAGCGAGUACAGCACCCUUUAUGUGAAACUGUAAGGCAUAAAUUGUGAACUUAAGACGAUGGUAAUUAGAGAAAUGGUGGUCAAAGUUGAGCAUACACUUG
RNAcentral lists this small RNA (409 nucleotides) under Histoplasma capsulatum. Its description in RNAcentral is "hypothetical RNA". Lineage: Eukaryota; Fungi; Ascomycota; Eurotiomycetes; Onygenales; Ajellomycetaceae. The record is from RNAcentral. RNAcentral also lists the same sequence under 1 other name.